UUUAGUCAGAACUCACAGCUAGUAUGAGGGUUUUUACUGUGGCAUGCCUGUCAAAUUUAUUUAUCAGCAUGCACCCUUUUUCUGUGUUAUAGGCUCAUAUAGUCAGAACUUCGUUGAAGUUUUAGGUAAGACAUUUUUAUUGGUAUCUUAAUGUUCGGAUUAUAGGGGAAAUUAGUAAACAAUUGGCCAUCGUGGGAGUCCAUAAUUUAUCCCUCCUAAAUUGAUGGUUAAUAGAAAGACCAAAUAUGCCACAGAAAGCUUAUUCUCUCACAUCAUAUUUCAAAUAGAAACAAGUCGAACAGAAUCACUGUAAUAACCACGCUUUCAUAUAUAAGAAUAUCACACAGCGGUGAAUAACAGUACAUCUAUUCACAUCGCUCUUAUUCAUGUUACAAAUAAGAACACCAAUACACCAUAGUAACACAACCUCGGGAUAUCCAGGGCACUUCCAAGCAGCACCUCUUAUUUGAACUUUCAUACUGGAGAAAGCAUGAGCAGAUAAUACCAUGACUAAGGAACUCUGGUUCUCUUAAGAAGAUGGAUACAUGGUCGUGCUCUUCUGGAGUGCCCAAGACAUGUGCUUACGCUUGAUGAAGUCCGAAGCCACCGAAUCCACAUCUGUAUUCACAUCAUCUUUCUUGAUAGGAUUGGCAUGGUUGUCCUGAAACCUGACUUGUUUUUUGGGCGCUUGGACAUGGUUCGCCCCUACUGCUGCUUCUUUCUUCAUAACACUGGCAUGGUUGUCCUGAAAGUUGGCAUGGGGAUGGUGGGCUUGGAAGUAGAGCAUACGAGUGUGCGACAUUGCUCUAUGGCUCCUUGCUUGGGGGUACGAGGAAAUGCUGGAAGGGUAGGAACUGGUUUGUUGCUGUGAUGUGCUCUUGUCCUCUUUUAUAGGCCCAUAAGGAUGCUUAUUCAUAGACGGCAAGUGGGCAUCAUAUUCUCCACUGCUGACAAUGUUGAGAUAUUUUUCGUGUUCUCUUUCUUGUUAGCUUUCUUCAUUCAAAUUUGUUAGGCGUUGAAUGACUCCAUGUUUAUCUUGUAAAGUAAUUUUGCUUGCUAGGGCUUCUCGCUUAGCGUGGACCUAAGUUAAGUUCCUUCUGCAGUUCUUUUUUCAUAGGACGCAGUUGAGUUGUUUUUCCACUUCCGCUCAUAAAGAUAAGUAAUAUCUUCUUUCAUAUGCUGGCAUGAACCAGUUAAGGAGAUUAUAUAUUUUACACUUUUUGUUAACCAUGAAUAACAAGGCAAGUCCCAAGCAUAUGAUCCAGCUCUUUUACUGGGCUUAACAUGUUCUCUGAUUGAGUGAUAGUUAUACUGCAGUGAUUUGUGAUAUGUUCAGUUGGUAGAAAAAAUAAGGAUGCUUUCAUGUUUUCUUGUUAGCUUUCUUCAUUCAAAUUUGUUAGGCGUUGAAUAACUCCAUCCUUAUCUUGCAAAGUGAGUAGUUUAGCUUGCAAAGGUUCUAGCUUAGCAUGGACCUAAGUUUAGUUCCUUCUGCAGUUUCUUCUUCUUCUCUCUCUCUCUCUCUCUCUUUUAAUAAGAUGCUUCGUGCAGCGAAUUGUAAUAGAUAAUUAUACAUAUCCAGUCAUGGAUCCAUCAAACAACUAAAAAAGUAGUUUUUUUCUUCUUCUAAAGGGGCCAUAUGAGAAUUGACAAUAAGCUGCUUCAAAGGUAUGUUCUCUUUUUUGUAUUAGAGGUGCACAGGAAUUCAGAACUAUGCUCUGGUGCUGUGAUGUAUAGAUGCUGUGACUCUUUCCUUUGCAUAUGAUUCUCAACCUAUCAUCUUUCUGUUUCUGAAAGGGCGUGUAUCGGAAUGGCUAUACGUGUACGACGCUUUCCUGCGGGGAAAAGCCAUCACCAUUGAUUGCUCCUUAACUUUGCAUAUGAUUCUCAACCUAUCAUCUUUCCAUUUCCCGAAAAGAACUGGAUGCCUUUUCUGUUUCUUCGGUCCACAUUUCAUGUUCCUGAAUAAUAAUAAUAAUAAUAAUAAUAUCCUGCAACCACAAUGAAAGGGACCUAACCGCUGCCUCCAUUUGCCUGCAGAGACGGACUUCCUGCGCGAUCGGAUGAAAACUAUGUGGAAGACGCUGCCUGGAAGGCAUAUCCGAUGUGGUGGUUUCUGACGGAGUUUGGCAUGAUAGGGAUUGGCAACAGAAACAAGUCAUAUGUUGAUAGGUAGGUAGAUAUGCUCCCUGCCUGGGAAGAUGCUUCGUGCAUCCCACACGCUAGUACUAUUAUCCGCAGAAUGUUUAUCACAUGGGCAUCUUGAUAAUUUUAUAUAUCCUUUAUUAUACGGUUGGAAAUGUAACAGUUUAUAUUCUGGAAAGCGAGAGCACUUGGUUGCUGUCAAAUUUUUACAACGCCUUUGCUGCAGUUGAGAACUUGCAGGCCUUCUGCUGGCAGUGUUAUCUAUCAUCUUUCUAGAAUCUCAGCGAACAGCAGUUCGUUUCUUUUGGUUAUACUCCCUCUGUUCCUAAAUAUUUGUCUUUAUAGAGAUUUCAACAAGUGACUACAUACGAAGCAAAAUGAGUGAAUCUACACUAAAAUAUGUCUAUAUACAUCCGUAUGUGGUAGUCCAUUUGAAAUCUCUAAAAAG
Molecule: long non-coding RNA, 2590 nt
Filed under: Triticum aestivum (bread wheat)
Lineage: Eukaryota; Viridiplantae; Streptophyta; Magnoliopsida; Poales; Poaceae
Description: long non-coding RNA (TAES_LNC000943)
Source: RNAcentral